GGGCCCGCACAAGCGGUGGAGUAUGUGGUUUAAUUCGAUGCAACGCGAAGAACCUUACCAGGGCUUAAAUGUAAGUUGCAUAGAUCAGAGAUGGUCUUUUCUUCGGACUACUUACAAGGUGCUGCAUGGUUGUCGUCAGCUCGUGCCGUGAGGUGUCAGGUUAAGUCCUAUAACGAGCGCAACCCCUGUCGUUAGUUACCAGCAAGUAAUGUUGGGUACUCUAGCGAGACUGCCGGUGCAAACCGUGAGGAAGGUGGGGAUGACGUCAAAUCAUCACGGCCCUUACGUCCUGGGCUACACACGUGCUACAAUGGCCGGUACAGAGAGCAGCCACUACGCGAGUAGGAGCGAAUCUUCAAAGCCGGUCUCAGUUCGGAUCGCAGUCUGCAACUCGACUGCGUGAAGCUGGAAUCGCUAGUAAUCG
Molecule: ribosomal RNA, 424 nt
Filed under: uncultured bacterium
Lineage: Bacteria
Description: bacterial SSU rRNA
Rfam family: Bacterial small subunit ribosomal RNA
Source: RNAcentral